Molecule: long non-coding RNA, 3967 nt
Organism: Pomacea canaliculata
Lineage: Eukaryota; Metazoa; Mollusca; Gastropoda; Architaenioglossa; Ampullariidae
Exons: 2
Source: RefSeq, a predicted model, not a curated record
UCUGUUUUUUUUUUUGUUUGUUUGUUUGUAUUUGUUUUGUUUUUUCCUGUAGGACAUUGUUUUUGUUUUGUUUUUGUGUUUUUGUUUUUUCCUAUAUUAUCGUACACGUCAUUUUUAAAUGUCGUCUGCUCCGCGAAAAGUCGUUUACUCGAAGAACAUGGACAGUACUUAGCGUCGUCCGCAGGCAACAUGCAGGAAUUUAUGGCGCAGCCAUUUUCCUUCCAAUGGAGUAAUGUUUUUAAAAUUCCGGCGGACGCCGGCCAAAAUGGCAGCAGAAACAAGCAAAAACGGGGGAGAGCGCACAUUUUACGGCGCGAGGAGGAAGCCAAUAAUGAGAGACGAAGGCCGAGGAGUUUUUAGCCUGAGUGAGAGCAGAUGUGACAGAGCAGAGAGGCAAACCUUAGUUUCUUUAUGAGGCUAGCGAGGAGGGGAUAGUUGCAGGAACUGAGUAGCCACAAUGGAAUACAUGAAGGAUAUAACAAUACACGUGCGCAUUCGAUGUAAGACACAAAGAAGAAGGUAUGGAGAGAUUGCGAGAAAGACAGACGAGAAAAUAAACAAAAGGCAGAAAGAUUGACACCAUUCGAGACGAUAAGGAAGAAACGAACAUAUAUUAGGUUGGGAGAGAGAGAGACCAAAUAAUAAAAGUAAUAAAAGGAAAAGAUUAAGCUGGCCUCCAUGCUAUAAAUUAAUUACUUAGUGAAUGUUGUCUUGCUGUCAGCAGCAGACCGAUGUCGCAAAAUUGCUUCCUGAUGCUGCAGAAUCGCUAAGUUGAAGGAAACAAACCUAAAGUCGAGGUUCUUUUCCACGAGAACGGGUUUUUACACAGUUUUAAUUUAAAUUUUGUCUUUUUUUUAUUAUCUAGCUUCAUUGUUGUCCGAACUUCUUGUGCUGUCAAUUAUGCUUUGCUCUGGAGGAUUGCCAAGAAAAGAAAGAAUCACAGAAGUGAUGGAGGGGUGAACGGGGAGGGAGAGAUUAAAUUUUCUCUAAUGCUUUUGGCCUUUCACCAUCUGUGCAUUUAAGACGAGAACAAGAUUGGAAGCAUGUGAUGGCCCUCUAAUUAAGUCUUUUCUUGGAAAUUAAGGGUCAGGUUCAUACGGUUAGAUAUUGUGUCUCAUGUCGUCACCAGCAUUUACGAUAAAUAAUCGGGUUAUAUAGUUCUCCUUUCGAGAAAGGUCAAUACAAGAUUGGAAUAAUAAUGAUAUUAAAUAAACGUGGCUUGUAAGGGGUGAGGGACUAAUUCAUUUCUGAGACAUUUAGACAGUGAGAUUACCUGUGAGACCUUCCUGGUCUUCUUUAUUACAAAGCGAGCAGAGCGGUUUCACAAAAGACCUUAAUUUCCUUACUGCAAAACAUACAAUGAGGCUUCAUAUAGGACAAUCCUUUUUUUUUCAAAGUGAACAGUGAGAUGUCAAGAAGUUUUCUUGUAUAUUUUACCCAACUGAGCAUAAGAAUACUUGUCAGUCUUAAAUAUUUUUGUCGUUAUCAACCACAAUUACUGUAAGUGGUAUCAUUGGCGAUCCAGUGUCUAGUCAUUAGGACUGGUUUGUCUUCGUGUAGAUUUUGACAAGGUGUUCACAUUCGAUUGUAAUAAAAGUAAAUGUGCUUAAAUGCAGUUUAAGGUGUAAGACCUUCAUUAUUCUCUGCUCAGUCUCCAAGUAUGUACACUGUGAACAUCACCCUGGAAGUGCACGACAUCCAUGGCAACGUGAGAGCUGAGACAUGGAAGUAGACUUGGUCAACGAGAUUGACAAAUGUCGGAGCCUCAUUUCUUUGAAGAUUAAUGGAAAAAAUCCCUGCUAUCCAUACUAUGGAUAUACACAGAGAAAUACAUGCCUUAAGGUUUAGUUUCUCGCCUGAUAAACCUGUUUCUGCUUAGCAUAAAUGUUUGUGUAACAUUAAUUAUAUUUCAAAUACGAAACACGUCAUUUACAUUAUUAUACUAGCGAUGAAAGAAAAAUUAAAACUCUUGUCUUUUUGCGAUUUAAGGUUUUUUUUUUUUAAACUUGUUAAAGAAAAUGCACUCUUAACACAUUUUUAAAAUUCUGAAUGUAUAUCUAUGUUUGGCCAAGAUUUCUGUUAUGGUCACAUGGGUAGCUUGGAAGCACAUAUGUGGGAAUGUGAUGCCGAGAGAACGAGUCCUGGUAGGACAUGUGAAGAUGUUGAAAUUCGAUGAAAAAAGCAACGACAUAUUCUAAGGAAGAGCACGUUCACCGGUGCAGACAUUAAGGACAAGCUACUGACUUACAUGUAAGAGGGUCUGUUUCCUGAGCCACUGCACCCCGGAGAGAAAUUGGGUAUCCUGCUAUGACGUAAAGGAAUUUAGACGGCGAAGAUAGCUCUCACCACCUAUCUGCCAUGGCCUUAUGUCAAGCACAUUACCAGCGACAAAAACUUUCGGGACCUUCUGAUUUCAUCACCACGAUGUUUCCGACACCAAAAUUACAUCUCGGCUUAGAAUGUGUCCUUUCAAACGAGAUUUAGUCUCAGUCAGUGAAGACGCAUGCAUUAGGAAAAAAAAAAAAAAGAAAUUAAUUUAUACACGGAAGCUUGUCAAGCAGCAUACUGAGCAAAAGGUCUGACCGGAAGAAGAAUGAUGAGCUGUGAGGAAAUAAGACUUGACUGUCGGAAGAUAGAUAUUGGGGGUGACAUGUUCCCUCAGGAUUUGUCGUUUUGUCGUGAUGGAAAGCAUACCGCAGCAACAAAAUUGAAGAUUAUGCGGGAGAGAGAGAGACAGAGACAUAAUGGGCCAGAGAGAGCCAGAGUCCAAUAGACAGAAAGACAGACCGACAAUCAGAGGACUUUCUAAGCGGUUACUGCCUUGAUAAUUGUCGCUGUAUUUCUCGGGGUGUGUAAAUAAAUCCUCUCCAAAGAACUCCUUUCUAGAUGUGUUUGAAACUUCGUGCUUCAGGACCAACGCACACUAUUACAAAUAACAAGUUUUUGUGUAAGUAAUAAUCUUGUUCUUUGAAAUUUACCAAACAUGGAUACUGAACUUCUUUCGUUAAGCGACUUUGACCUGGACCUUUACUACGUGUAACACUUCUCAAAAUGAUUUGCAAUUGAUUGAAUGUUAAUGAUAGCUCAAUGAAUACUAUCUAACAAUAAAAAUUGUGUCAAUUGUCAACUGUGCAUGUUUUUGCAAGAAAUUAAACAAACAGCAUGGCUUCAUCCAUUCUCAAGGUACUGUUUCCUUUGAGAAUGUAUGCUAUGAACUGGAACACCUUUAGGUGUAGUAAAUAGAAACCUAAAAUUCUUGGCGCAGAAACGGGAAGAUUGAAGACAACAGGUAUUUUGACUUAUUGACCAUUUACUUUUACAACAUACGACUACAUUCUUCUUUGGAUACUUGAAUUUUCUCCAGGCUAUGAUGGGUCUGAUUCACUGUGCUUUCUAUGGCUUUGUAAUGAUGAUGAAUGCUACUUUUGAUUCAUGUCAUGCUAAUUCUCUGUAACAUUGCAUUGCCACUUGAGCUAAAUAAACUAAUAUGGUUUAUUGAGUUAUUAAAAAUGUUAUGACAGUCAAAACUUCAUGUGAUACUCUAAACAAAUAUGUAUUCAAAUCCAUGGACAAUGUAAAAGAUUAUGAAGACUUCUUUUUGGCUUUACAGAAGGUCCUCCUACUUUAAGAUCUUCACUAUCGCAUACUUUUGCUUGCAUCUGCAUGUACAUAUCUUUAUAGAGUUUCGCAUUAUUAUGUCUUCCCUUGCCUCUGGAGUUCUGACUAUUUCUUAGCUUAUAAAUAGCUUGUUAAAUGAUAGCUUGUUUGCCCUUUGUAUACUUGAUCAAAUGUUAUCUCUCAAACGAUCUCUUGUGUUGCUAACAAUUGUAAUUGAAGUAAUUAAGAGUGACUUUUUCAUUGGGCUGCUUUGAAGACAGUUUAAAGGAUAUGAUGUCCAACAUUGAAGGGAGUAAAAAUUGCACAUACUUGUAUAACUUCCGUUGCUAAAUAAAAUUUUUCUGAGACA